RNAcentral lists this ribosomal RNA (253 nucleotides) under uncultured bacterium. RNAcentral's name for it is "partial 16S ribosomal RNA". It matches the Rfam family "Bacterial small subunit ribosomal RNA", at positions 524 to 776 of the family's 1533-position model. The record is from RNAcentral.
UACGGAGGGUGCAAGCGUUGCUCGGAAUUAUUGGGCGUAAAGGGUAGGUAGGUGGUCUCAUUUGUCUGGGGUGAAAGCCUUGAGCUUAACUCAAGAAGUGCCCCAGAAACGGUGAGACUGGAGUCUUGGAGAGGGUCGUGGAAUUCCCGGUGUAGCGGUGAAAUGCGUAGAGAUCGGGAGGAACACCAAUUGCGAAGGCAGCUCGCUGGGACGUUACUGACGCUGAGACGCGAAAGCGUGGGGAGCAAACAGG